GCAGGCGCGCGGGCUGGCAAGAGGCCGGGCUCCGCCUCUGCUCUGUCACUGGUUAACAACGAGCCGGGCCGCCGCCGCCGCUGCUGCUACGCCGCUUCGCUCCCGCCCCCCCCUCCCCGAAAUCGGCGGGGGUAGCAGCAGCACCACCACCAGCACAAGGGCGGUCGAGACGAGCAGGAGAAGGAGCAGGACGGGGAGGGAGCCAGCCGACAUGAGGCGAGAGACCAGCUGGCCUUGUCGAUAGAAGAUCUGUAUAGUGCUAAUUACUUGCAACCAUGGUGCAGAAAUACCAGUCUCCCGUGAGGGUGUAUAAGCACCCCUUUGAAUUAAUUAUGGCUGCUUAUGAAAGAAGGUUUCCCACGUGCCCCCUCAUUCCCAUGUUCGUUGCCAGUGAUACUAUGAAUGAAUUCAAGAGUGAUGACGGGGCAGUCCAUAUGAUUGAAAGACGCUGUAAACUGGAUGUAGAUUUCCCACGACUCCUGAAAAAGAUUGCAGGGGUAGAUUAUGUCUACUUUAUUCAAAAGAACUCCUUGAACAGAAGAGAACGCACUUUACACAUAGAGGCCUACAAUGAAACAUUUUCGAACAGAGUUGUCAUCAAUGAAUGUUGCUGUUACACAGUGCAUCCAGACAAUGAAGACUGGACCUGUUUUGAGCAGUCUGCAAGCCUUGAUAUUAAAUCUUUCUUUGGCUUUGAAAGCACAGUAGAAAAGAUUGCUAUGAAACAGUAUACCAGCAAUAUUAAAAAGGGCAAAGAAAUAAUUGAGUACUACCUGAAGCAGCUAGAAGAAGAAGGAAUAAUGUUUAUCCCUCGUUGGACUCCCCCUGUUAAAUACACAUUUGAGCGUAGAUCUCAUGUAGGACAACCACUGUCUUCGCCAGUCAACAUACCUGAUAAUGCCAUUAAAGAAGGAAUAAACACUAAAGAUCUCAACGCUUGCAACAAUGCAAUAGACCCCACAGCAGGAACACCCGACGACAAGCUGGAUGCAGACUACAUCAAAAGGUAUCUGGGCGACUUGACACCGCUUCAGGAAAGCUGCCUGAUCAGGCUUCGGCAGUGGCUUCAAGAAACGCACAAGGGCAAAAUCCCAAAGGAUGAACACAUUUUAAGAUUCUUGCGAGCUAGAGAUUUCAACAUUGACAAAUCCAGAGAAAUCCUCUGCCAGUCAUUAACAUGGCGUAAACAGCACCAGGUGGAUUAUAUUCUGGAUACAUGGAACCCUCCUCAGGUCCUGCAAGAUUAUUAUGCAGGAGGCUGGCAUCACCACGAUAAAGAUGGGCGUCCACUGUACGUUCUGAGACUUGGCCAGAUGGAUACCAAAGGUUUGGUGCGAGCCCUUGGAGAAGAAGCCUUACUUCGCUAUGUUCUCUCUAUAAAUGAGGAAGGACUGAGGCGGUGUGAAGAAAAUACAAAAGUAUUUGGAAGACCUAUAAGCUCAUGGACCUGUCUGGUGGACCUGGAGGGCUUGAAUAUGCGACACUUAUGGAGACCUGGUGUCAAGGCCUUGCUAAGAAUUAUUGAGGUUGUUGAAGCCAAUUAUCCAGAAACACUGGGACGCCUUCUCAUCCUGCGAGCUCCCAGGGUAUUUCCAGUCCUCUGGACACUGGUUAGUCCAUUUAUCGAUGACAACACUAGAAAGAAAUUCCUGGUUUAUGCAGGCAAUGACUAUCAAAGUCCUGGUGGGCUGCUGGAUUAUAUCGACAAAGAAAUUAUUCCAGAUUUUCUUGGUGGCGAAUGCAUGUGUGAAGUUCCAGAGGGCGGGCUGGUUCCCAAAUCAUUGUACCGGACAGCAGAAGAACUGGAAAAUGAAGACAUAAGAUUGUGGACGGAAACCAUCUAUCAGUCUGCAAGUGUCUUCAAAGGAUCUCCCCAUGAGAUUUUUAUUCAGAUUGUGGAAGCGUCCGCUGUGAUCACCUGGGAUUUUGACGUUUGUAAAGGUGACAUUGUCUUUAACAUCUAUCACUCCAAGAGAGCACCACAGCCUCCUAAAAAGGAUUCCCUGGGGGCCCACAGCAUCACCUCUCCUGGUGGCAACAAUGUGCAACUCAUAGACAAAGCUUGGCAGAUGGGGCGAGACUACAGUAUGGUGGAGUCUCCACUCAUUUGUAAGGAAGGGGAGAGUGUUCAGGGUUCUCAUGUGACUAGAUGGCCUGGUUUCUAUAUUCUCCAGUGGAAGUUCCACAGUAUGCCUGCCUGCGCUACAACCAACAUGCCUCGUGUGGAUGAUGUCCUAGCAUCUCUACAGGUCUCAUCUCAUAAGUGUAAAGUGAUGUACUACACAGAAGUAAUUGGGUCAGAAGAUUUCAGGGGGUCCAUGAGCAGCCUUGAAUCAAGCCACAGUGGAUUUUCUCAGCUCAGUGCUGCUACAACCUCUUCCAGCCAGUCUCACUCCAGCUCCAUGAUUUCCAGGUAGUGCCACUGCCAGCAAAAAGCCAGUGGAUGAGAUGGCCGGACCUUCGUCUGUGGCAGCCAACUGCAAUACAGCAUAAUCAUCAGUGACAACUGCAAAAAUAAAUAAAUACACAAGUGGACGGCCUUUUUAUAGAUAGUAAAGCAGCUGUUUGCAUUUAAAUAUACUGGUUUUGUUUUGAAUUAGACUUAAAAGCGAGUGUGUCUAACUCAGUAGCCAUAGUUUUUUAUAAACAUGCUUGCACAACUUGGAAACGCAAGGGCUGCUUUGGAAAGAAAAGAAUAAUCAGUGUGCUGGUGGUUGAAAAUUUAUUUUUAGAAUAAACACCCUACUAAAAAAAACCUCCAUAGUGCAUUAAGCUUAACCAGCAGGUCCUGCCAGUGAGGUUCCCCUGAGGUUUGAAAACACUUUCUCCCUUCCUGCUCCUGUGAAUUCCCCUCCUGUGUUACUCCCCACCAUUAAGUCUGGAGGAGCACAGUGGCUGGAUGCUGGACAUUUCAUGGAGUGCCAGCUGGUGACUGGCUGAGCGAUGACCUUUUCUCUUGACUUUGUCACAGAGGGGUGCUGCCCUCUGUGGAGGAAGCAGAAUUGCAGACUCGGGAAGCCAUUUUGACACUGAUACAUUCCACUUAUUAGCUCACACUGUUAAAGGCAUACUCCAGCUUUGGGCAUUGAAAGGUUGUAAGCUUUCAAUUUACAUUUCUGAGCACUGAAGAUAGAUAGGAUCAAAGAGGAUAGAGCAGGCUCUCCUCUACCCAAAGGCUAGCUCUCCUUUGGGUCCUCAGGUUCAUUUCUUUCUCUCCAAUUCUUGAGACCUGUUUUGACCACACCCCACUUGCAUCUUUUCACUGUCAACAAGCACCCAUUGAAUGGAGAUAUCUUUUCUGCCAAGAGCUGAUUAGAAGAAGAUGGCGAUUUUGCUGACAGCUGUAAAGAACCCACUUCACUCAACAGUCCACAUCAGCCCAGGGAUGUCUGGCUUUGUAGAACUUUUUUGAGUUGCAGCCACUUCUCCUGUCUGAAGACCUUAAGUUUGCUCAGAAGUGUCCCUUGGGGAUACUUUUCUCUAGAAGCCUAAUGCAUCUUUCAGAGCUCAAAGCACAAACACUUGAGGAGGUCCAUACACUCAAAAAGCAAGUCUUUUUUUUUAUUAAAGUGGAGUUCCAUAGCAACUAUGACCUGACUAACCCAUGGCUUCUCUCCUUAGUGUGUGUGAUUUUAGCUUUGUUCUUUACUCCAUUCUCCUUCGUACCAGAUUCAGCUGGCCUUUCUUCUCCUGAACUUAAUUUAGCAACAUGGUCCCUCCUGCUCUUCUACAUGUUCAUGAACUUCAUAUCAAUUUCUGUAAAUGUUUUGUAAACAUAUUACCUCAAUCUUGGUAAUAAGAUAACAGUCUUUAAAAGAUUUUUUUAUUUGUAUUGAUAAUAAAUGUGAACUCUUUGGGGGAAAA
Hemicordylus capensis (graceful crag lizard) is the source of this 3864-nucleotide RNA transcript. It is a transcript of the gene named SEC14 like lipid binding 1, with no coding region annotated. The record is from RefSeq and is a predicted model, not a curated record. NCBI's taxonomy places the organism in Eukaryota, Metazoa, Chordata, Lepidosauria, Squamata, Cordylidae. The transcript has 17 exons.